RNAcentral lists this ribosomal RNA (116 nucleotides) under Mycena dura. RNAcentral describes it as "partial 5.8S ribosomal RNA". It matches the Rfam family "5.8S ribosomal RNA", at positions 47 to 154 of the family's 154-position model. Rfam says of the family: 5.8S ribosomal RNA (5.8S rRNA) is a component of the large subunit of the eukaryotic ribosome. It is transcribed by RNA polymerase I as part of the 45S precursor that also contains 18S and 28S rRNA. Lineage: Eukaryota; Fungi; Basidiomycota; Agaricomycetes; Agaricales; Mycenaceae. The record is from RNAcentral.
AGCGAAAUGCGAUAAGUAAUGUGAAUUGCAGAAUUCAGUGAAUCAUCGAAUCUUUGAACGCACCUUGCGCCCUUUGGUAUUCCGAAGGGCAUGCCUGUUUGAGUGUCAUUAAAUUC